This 425-nucleotide ribosomal RNA is filed under the name uncultured bacterium. Its description in RNAcentral is "bacterial SSU rRNA". It matches the Rfam family "Bacterial small subunit ribosomal RNA", at positions 356 to 773 of the family's 1533-position model. The record is from RNAcentral.
GGGGAAUAUUGGACAAUGGGCGCAAGCCUGAUCCAGCCAUGCCGCGUGUGUGAAGAAGGUCUUCGGAUUGUAAAGCACUUUAAGUUGGGAGGAAGGUCAGUAGCUUAAUACGUUGCUGAUUUGACGUUACCGACAGAAUAAGCACCGGCUAACUCUGUGCCAGCAGCCGCGGUAAUACAGAGGGUGCAAGCGUUAAUCGGAAUUACUGGGCGUAAAGCGCGCGUAGGUGGUUUUGUAAGUUGGAGGUGAAAUCCCCGGGCUCAACCUGGGAACUGCCUCCAAAACUGCAAAGCUAGAGUACGGUAGAGGGUGGUGGAAUUUCCUGUGUAGCGGUGAAAUGCGUAGAUAUAGGAAGGAACACCAGUGGCGAAGGCGACCACCUGGACUGAUACUGACACUGAGGUGCGAAAGCGUGGGGAGCAAAC